UUUUUGGUGGGUGUGGAUGAGUGGCGAACGGGUGAGUAACACGUGAGUAACCUGCCCUCUUCUUCUGGAUAACCUCAUGAAAGUGGGGCUAAUACGGGGUAUUCCGGGUCUGUCGCAUGGCGGGUUUGGGAAAGAUUGCGCCUUUGGGUGUUUUCGGUGGGGGAUGGGCUCGCGGCCUAUCAGCUUGUUGGUGGGGUGAUGGCCUACCAAGGCGGUGACGGGUAGCCGGCCUGAGAGGGUGGACGGCCACACUGGGACUGAGACACGGCCCAGACUCCUGCGGGAGGCAGCAGUGGGGAAUAUUGCACAAUGGGCGCAAGCCUGAUGCAGCGACGCCGCGUGAGGGAUGGAGGCCUUCGGGUUGUGAACCUCUUUCGCCAGUGAAGCAGGCCUGCCUCGUUUGUGGGUGGGUUGACGGUAGCUGGAUAAGAAGCGCCGGCUAACUACGUGCCAGCAGCCGCGGUAAUACGUAGGGCGCGAGCGUUGUCCGGAAUUAUUGGGCGUAAAGAGCUCGUAGGCGGCUGGUCGCGUCUGUCGUGAAAUCCUCUGGCUUAACUGGGGGCUUGCGGUGGGUACGGGCCGGCUUGAGUGCGGUAGGGGAGGCUGGAACUCCUGGUGUAGCGGUGGAAUGCGCAGAUAUCAGGAAGAACACCGGUGGCGAAGGCGGGUCUCUGGGCCGUUACUGACGCUGAGGAGCGAAAGCGUGGGGAGCGAACAGGAUUAGAUACCCUGGUAGUCCACGCCGUAAACGUUGGGCACUAGGUGUGGGGGGCCUUUUCCGGGU
Molecule: ribosomal RNA, 784 nt
Filed under: uncultured Actinomyces sp.
Lineage: Bacteria; Bacillati; Actinomycetota; Actinomycetes; Actinomycetales; Actinomycetaceae
Description: bacterial SSU rRNA
Rfam family: Bacterial small subunit ribosomal RNA
Source: RNAcentral